This 332-nucleotide RNase P RNA is filed under the name human gut metagenome. RNAcentral's name for it is "Bacterial RNase P class A". It matches the Rfam family "Bacterial RNase P class A". From Rfam's summary of the family: Ribonuclease P (RNase P) is a ubiquitous endoribonuclease, found in archaea, bacteria and eukarya as well as chloroplasts and mitochondria. Its best characterised activity is the generation of mature 5'-ends of tRNAs by cleaving the 5'-leader elements of precursor-tRNAs. The record is from RNAcentral.
AUCGCGGCUGGCAGAUGCCGAAAGGUGCCAGGUGAGGAAAGUCCGGGCUUCACAGGGCAGGAUGCCGGAUAACGUCCGGCGGAGGUGACUCCAGGGACAGUGCAACAGAAAUGAACCACCGUCUUUGGACGGUAAGGGUGGAAGGGCAGUGUAAGAGACUACCGCCCGGCUGGUAACAGCCGGGGCACAUGUAAACCCCAUCCGAAGCAAGACCGGAUCGAAAACAAUGUGGCGGCCCGUCACGUUUUCAGGUAGGUCGCUUGAGGCUGCCGGCAACGGCAGUCCUGGAUAGAUGAUUACACACGACAUAACCCGGCUUAUCGUUCUGCUUA